AACGCGUGGGAAUAUGCCCUUCACUAUGGAAUAGCCUCGGGAAACUGAGAGUAAUACCAUAUACGCCCUUCGGGGGAAAGAUUUAUCGGUGAAGGAUUAGCCCGCGUUAGAUUAGAUAGUUGGUGGGGUAAUGGCCUACUAAGUCUACGAUCUAUAGCUGGUUUGAGAGGAUGAUCAGCAACACUGGGACUGAGACACGGCCCAGACUCCUACGGGAGGCAGCAGUGGGGAAUCUUAGACAAUGGGCGCAAGCCUGAUCUAGCCAUGCCGCGUGAGUGACGAAGGCCUUAGGGUCGUAAAGCUCUUUCGCCAGAGAUGAUAAUGACAGUAUCUGGUAAAGAAACCCCGGCUAACUCCGUGCCAGCAGCCGCGGUAAUACGGAGGGGGUUAGCGUUGUUCGGAAUUACUGGGCGUAAAGCGCACGUAGGCGGAUUGGAAAGUAGGGGGUGAAAUCCCAGGGCUCAACCCUGGAACUGCCUCCUAAACUAUCAGUCUAGAGUUCGAGAGAGGUGAGUGGAAUUCCAAGUGUAGAGGUGAAAUUCGUAGAUAUUUGGAGGAACACCAGUG
Molecule: ribosomal RNA, 567 nt
Filed under: uncultured bacterium
Lineage: Bacteria
Description: bacterial SSU rRNA
Rfam family: Bacterial small subunit ribosomal RNA
Source: RNAcentral